CAGUCGCCACGGGAAUACGAAGGGUGCAAGCGUUACUCGGAAUUACUGGGCGUAAAGCGUGCGUAGGUGGUGGUUUAAGUCCGUUGUGAAAGCCCUGGGCUCAACCUGGGAAUUGCAGUGGAUACUGGAUCACUAGAGUGUGGUAGAGGAUAGUGGAAUUUCCGGUGUAGCAGUGAAAUGCGUAGAGAUCGGAAGGAACAUCUGUGGCGAAGGCGACUAUCUGGGCCAACACUGACACUGAGGCACGAAAGCGUGGGGAGCAAACAGGAUUAGAUACCCCCGUAGUCCCUGUCUCUUAUAC
This 301-nucleotide ribosomal RNA is filed under the name uncultured bacterium. RNAcentral's name for it is "partial 16S ribosomal RNA". It matches the Rfam family "Bacterial small subunit ribosomal RNA", at positions 509 to 807 of the family's 1533-position model. The record is from RNAcentral.